AUGUGACCUGUGGGUUUCCCUUUGUCAUCCUAUGCCUGGAGAUCAUGAUAAGGCAGGGACAGCAAAGGGAUGCUCAGCUGUCACCUCU
RNAcentral lists this microRNA precursor (88 nucleotides) under Salmo salar (Atlantic salmon). RNAcentral's name for it is "mir-204 microRNA precursor family". It matches the Rfam family "mir-204 microRNA precursor family". RNAcentral also lists the same sequence under 2 other names. The record is from Rfam by way of RNAcentral. Lineage: Eukaryota; Metazoa; Chordata; Actinopteri; Salmoniformes; Salmonidae.